This 253-nucleotide ribosomal RNA is filed under the name uncultured bacterium. RNAcentral's name for it is "partial 16S ribosomal RNA". It matches the Rfam family "Bacterial small subunit ribosomal RNA", at positions 524 to 776 of the family's 1533-position model. The record is from RNAcentral.
UACGUAGGGUGCAAGCGUUGUCCGGAAUUAUUGGGCGUAAAGAGCUCGUAGGCGGUUUGUCGCGUCUGGUGUGAAAAUCCAGGGCUUAACCCUGGACCUGCAUCGGGUACGGGCAGACUAGAGUCCGGUAGGGGAGUGUGGAAUUCCCGGUGUAGCGGUGAAAUGCGCAGAUAUCGGGAGGAACACCAGUGGCGAAGGCGGCACUCUGGGCCGGUACUGACGCUGAGGAGCGAAAGCGUGGGGAGCGAACAGG